RNAcentral lists this unclassified non-coding RNA (326 nucleotides) under Bombus terrestris (buff-tailed bumblebee). RNAcentral describes it as "misc RNA ENSBTSG00005020081.1". Lineage: Eukaryota; Metazoa; Arthropoda; Insecta; Hymenoptera; Apidae. The record is from RNAcentral.
UAACGUAAAAGUGUGCACAAUAGUAUUUAAAAUGAGUACAAAAGAGUCUGAAACAAAAAAGUGUGAAGGAGAAAUAAUAUUCCGAUUACAUGAGGAUGGCAAAUCAUAUAACGAGAUUGCCGGAAUUGUGAACAGAAAUGGUCAAAAUUAUGUGUGGAGAAAACCAAAUACGGAAUUGGAAAUGCAACAUUUACAUUAAACAGUGAAACACGGAGGUGGCUCGGUCAUGGUGUGGGGGUGCACGGCUGCCAGUGGCACCGGAAAUUUGAUAUUUAUUGAUGGAAUACUUGAUAAAUGUAAGUAUUUAAAUAUUUUAAAAAAUAACC